This 492-nucleotide ribosomal RNA is filed under the name uncultured bacterium. RNAcentral describes it as "partial 16S ribosomal RNA". It matches the Rfam family "Bacterial small subunit ribosomal RNA", at positions 29 to 507 of the family's 1533-position model. The record is from RNAcentral.
AGUGAACGCUGGCGGUAGGCCUAACACAUGCAAGUCGAACGGCAGCACAGUAAGAGCUUGCUCUUAUGGGUGGCGAGUGGCGGACGGGUGAGGAAUACAUCGGAAUCUACUUUUUCGUGGGGGAUAACGUAGGGAAACUUACGCUAAUACCGCAUACGACCUACGGGUGAAAGCAGGGGAUCUUCGGACCUUGCGCGAUUGGAUGAGCCGAUGUCGGAUUAGCUAGUUGGCGGGGUAAAGGCCCACCAAGGCGACGAUCCGUAGCUGGUCUGAGAGGAUGAUCAGCCACACUGGAACUGAGACACGGUCCAGACUCCUACGGGAGGCAGCAGUGGGGAAUAUUGGACAAUGGGCGCAAGCCUGAUCCAGCCAUACCGCGUGGGUGAAGAAGGCCUUCGGGUUGUAAAGCCCUUUUGUUGGGAAAGAAAAGCAGCAGGUUAAUACCCCGCUGUUCUGACGGUACCCAAAGAAUAAGCACCGGCUAACUUCGUG